Molecule: ribosomal RNA, 309 nt
Filed under: uncultured bacterium
Lineage: Bacteria
Description: bacterial SSU rRNA
Rfam family: Bacterial small subunit ribosomal RNA
Source: RNAcentral
GAUGAACGCUAGCGGCAGGCUUAACACAUGCAAGUCGAGGGGUAACAUUGGUGCUUGCACCAGAUGACGACCGGCGCACGGGUGAGUAACGCGUAUACAAUUUACCUUAUACAGGGGGAUAGCCUUUAGAAAUGAAGAUUAAUACCCCAUGGUUUAUAGAGAUCGCAUGGUUUUUAUAAUAAAGAUUUAUUGGUAUAAGAUGAGUAUGCGUCCUAUUAGUUAGUUGGUAAGGUAAUGGCUUACCAAGGCUUCGAUAGGUAGGGGCCCUGAGAGGGGGACCCCCCACACUGGUACUGAGACACGGACCAG